UCCCAUGCAGAGUUUCACAGUGACAGC
This 27-nucleotide non-coding RNA is filed under the name Mus musculus (house mouse). The record is from RNAcentral. Lineage: Eukaryota; Metazoa; Chordata; Mammalia; Rodentia; Muridae.